Molecule: ribosomal RNA, 359 nt
Filed under: uncultured bacterium
Lineage: Bacteria
Description: bacterial SSU rRNA
Rfam family: Bacterial small subunit ribosomal RNA
Source: RNAcentral
CACGUAGGAACGUACCCCAAAGUGAGGGAUAACUGCUCGAAAGAGUAGCUAAUACCGCAUGUGCUCUAAGGAGUAAAGCUUCGGCGCUUUGGGAACGGCCUGCGUAAGAUUAGCUUGUUGGUGAGGUAAAAGCUCACCAAGGCGAUGAUCUUUAGCUGGUCUGAGAGGAUGAUCAGCCAGACUGGGACUGAGACACGGCCCAGACUCCUACGGGAGGCAGCAGUAGGGAAUUUUCCACAAUGGGCGAAAGCCUGAUGGAGCAACGCCGCGUGCAGGAUGAAGGCCUUCGGGUUGUAAACUGCUUUUAUCUGUGACGAAUAUGACGGUAGCAGAUGAAUAAGGAUCGGCUAACUCCGUGC